GAACCAAUGCUUAGAGCGCUCGCUCUAAUUCUUUGCUAUUGUCUUAGGUGUGACCCCCCUAGCAAGCAUCUUCUAUUCCAUCCGGUCCUACUUGGGAACAACACUCUUAUAACCACCUGAUCCCAUAUGAUGGUGGUAUGUCUUUUUACUUGCAUUCUCUUUGUUUCUAAUGGCUCAUUCCUCGCUCUCUUUUGAUGUUUUGUACUGCACGAAGUCAUCCCAGAAGGCCCUCAGCUUUACAUAUUGCUUGAGGUUGAAAUUUGAAGUCUUGUUUUUCUUGACA
Molecule: long non-coding RNA, 283 nt
Filed under: Sorghum bicolor (sorghum)
Lineage: Eukaryota; Viridiplantae; Streptophyta; Magnoliopsida; Poales; Poaceae
Description: long non-coding RNA (SBIC_LNC004681)
Source: RNAcentral